UUAGGCAGCACUGAUGCAGGAGGAAUUUCAAUGAUGGGAGGGUGGGUAAGACAGAGUGGAAAUAUAAGCUCUUUCCUCUAAUAUAUAUUCCAUAUGGAAGGAAAACUUCAUAUUGGGUUAGAGUUGGGGAAUAGAGAUCUCAUUUGACUGAAGAUCGAGAGCUUGGGAAUGACUAUAAGGUUCUAUCUGCAAAAAGAUGAUUCUGAGAUAAUUGGCUUUAAAGUUCCGAACCAUCAUUGGUUUGAAUGGUGUCAGCAAUUUUUAUCUUGUAAUCUUUUGAACUUAACAUAAAUUGGGGGUAUUUAGAGUACUAUAAAUGCUAUAGAACAAGGCUAUGACAAUAACUCCAUUUAAACAAGAACGCAGAUAGAACCUUAUAGUCCCAAGCUCUCGAAAUGUCAGAAGUUUAGUUUUUUUAAAACAGAAAGACAAAAUUAUUAGCAACAAAAAAGUUAAGUUAGCAUUUAGAGUGAGGUCAAGGCUUUCUAAAUGUCCACUUGAUUGUUGUGUCUCUGAAACGUUCAAGUUAAAAUGCUAGCUGAGAGGGGAGUCAUAAUUAGUGCUAUGUGGGGACUGGAGAGUGCGUGUCUAAAGAAAAAACAUUGGUUCUUGUGGCGCUGUUAGUCCAACCCAUGUAACCCAUGGCGUAAUGAAGCGUGUUAGCUGGAGGGAAAGUUAAUGAUUGUCAACAAAGAAAGAUGAUAAUGAAAAUGGAAUACUGUACCUUAAGCAUUCAUUUCCCAUUUGUAGUUUUAAUCCCCAUUUGGCCCGGCCCAAAAUCUUACUUUAGCUCAAGCCCAAUGCCCAUGGAAUGCACAGAGAGUGUGAUUUCACCAUUUUAACAACGUUUUUAUUGAAAUAAAAUUGGAUUUAGUCGUAAAAAAAAAACGGAACAAAUUUUCUCCCAGGGUACAAUAUUUUUACAAACAAAGAAAUGGAUAAAACAAAAACAGAAGCAAAAUGAAAAUGUCUCGUCAAAAUGGGGAUAACUGCAGCUUUAAAUACAGCUGAACUCAAGCAACAUGGAACACUGAACUGCAAUGCCUCCUGGGUACUCUAGUGUAGCAAACAUUAUGACGCUCACUUGAAGCAUGACAAUAACAGUACUACCUCCUGUAUUCAAAUGUGUGUGUGUGUGUGUUUGUGUGUGUAAUUUGAUUGUUAGAGAAUUGGGUUGGUGAAUGCAGGCAUCACUAACAAGGACAACUGAGUGGCUCAGUUACUCACAAAAAAUGAAUGUUCUCCAUUUGAGUACAAAUCACACACAGGACAUGUUGCAAUCAGAACAAACACAUGAUGAGUAAAACUAAAAAUACAACAUCAGCAAACAUAGUUUGUUAUUCACAUAUGUACAACUUGCAUAUUACUACAUCAUACGAUUGUCUCCAAAUCAUUUUAAAGAGGCCAUACGAACAAAGCAAUCUUGUUUUUUUGGUAUACUCUCCAACAGAUACUACUGCAAAAUGCAAUCAACCUCGGUCUCCUGUUCUUUCUUUUCAGAGCCUCUCGUUUCACAGUGGAUGUGACAUUAUUCACAGCUUGCCGGGGCCUUAAGUCCAUUACUCAUAAAGGUGCCAUACCACACUACUUAUGAGCAUGAAUUUAACCACCCCACAUAUGUACGUUAAAUAAAGCAAGGCACUCUCUGUGUACAGGCGAGCGGGGCUGGAAUUACCUGCCAUUAAUCUGUGCAAACAAUUGACUUAAGCCCCAGUAAAUGAAGAGUCCUUUUUCAAUGGCCUGACAGGAUGUGCAGUGGCAGGCUUCAAAAUAACACAAGGUGUCUGAAAGGACCUUCCCUUGUCGUUAAGUGUGCUUUUCAAUUUCUAUAUGUCUUCUUUGCUUACCUUCCCCCACUCCCUUCUUUCCCCUUGGCUAUCUACCCUUUGGUGAAUGAUUUUAAUUAUUUUGAAGUGAAAACAUAAAAAAAGUGCAGUUAGGCCAAGCUUGUACUCUCCAGUGGUAGCCAACAGACAAUAAAAGUGUCUAAGGAAUUCACCAGCACUUUGUCACACUCAAAUGAACAAACUCAGUGUGAAAGGAAAUAGAAUCCUGCCAUAAAAAGGGACUUUAAAACCAAAUGAUUUCUCUAAACACAUUAAAAUAUACGGAAUGACUCUGUGUGGGGCAGUGUAGGUGCUCAACCAAAGAUGUGCCUCCUGUAAAAUAAAAACAACACAAAAACAUAAGCUCCUUCAUUUAAAAAACAUAAGCUCCUUCAUUUAAACCCCUCAAAAGGUUGAGAUAAAUUAAAUGUUUCCUUCUUAGCGUGAAAGUGUAGUGAGUCCAUUUUAAGGUGAGGAUUUUUUUAAAUGACAAACAUAAACAUAACAAAAAAUAAAAAUGAGAGAUGAAAAGGCAAGCCUGCCCUGAUUUGGGAAAGGUGGUGGCGUGAUCGCGGUGAGAGAAUGAGUGAUCAGUGCAGCUUUGGUAGCAAAUCUCUGUGAUUCAGUCCAAAUUCUACCAAACCUCGUCGGUCCAUAUAAUGUUCCUGUUGUACCCUGCUGUGGGGAAGUAGUCGCCUACCUGUUUGUUGCUGUAUUUCGGCGGGUUUGCCUUGUAGCUGUAAUCCGAAUAUUGAUCGGAGCCUGUAGAGUUGUUGUCACCUGUGCCCACAAAGGUGUUGGUGGCAGGCAGGUCCUGAACGGCUUGGUGCUUCUUGGAGGCAGAGGGGGACUGGGGCUGCAGCUGGAUGGAGGGCAGUGGGGAGUUGGAGCGGUAGUGUCUGCCCAGGUCGGGGCUGCCCGGGGGGUAGUUGAGGGGCAGGUGGAUCCGGGGACUGUCAUUGACACUAUCGUUUAUGAGGUUGAAGUUGAGGCCCUUCUGGAGGCUGGCCUCUUCAUCCUCCUCCAGUGGCUUGGUGGGCUUGGGCACCUUGCCCUUCUUGCUCUUUUUGCCCUUGCCAUUCUUGGGCCCUGCUUUGGGGGCGUACAGGUCCUUACUCUCCUUCUUGCCCGCCUGGUAGCCGCUCUUGGUGUCCUUCUGCAUGCGAUGGCGGAUCACCACCACCACCACGAUGACCAGGAUGACUCCGGCGAUGCCCGCUAGGCUGCCGUACAGGAUAUUGCUGCGCUGGGCCAGCGCGUAGUUGGGGUCCCCGGCAAUGUCUCUGUCCAGAGGAGUGUAGAGGCUGUGACCCACCAGAGACUCAAUCAGGGUGAUGUUGCCCAUGGUCUCGUUGACGAAGAUGUGGACCAGGGCGGUGGUGUGGCGUGGUGGCUUGCCUUUGUCGCUCACCUUCACCACCAGACGGUGGAGCCCGUUGUGCUUGCGGGUGAACUCCUGGGCCAGGGUUAUCUCCCCAUUGGUGGGCGAGAUGUGAAACAGUCCGUAGGGGUUCCCGCCGGUAAUGCUGAAGACCAGCUCGGCGUUGGGUCCUGUGUCGAUGUCUUCAGCCUCCACCACUUCCACGCGUGUCUCGGGGGUCGUGAGAGGUGGGAGUUAUCGUUCUCGUCCAAGACGUUGAUGGUCACACCCACGUAGGAGGACCUGGGAGGGUCACCGGCGUCCACAGCCUUGAGGCGGAAAGUGUAUGUGCUCUCCUUCUCACGGUCAAAGGAGAUGCUGGAAAGGAUAGUGCCUGUGCCAUUCUGGAUGACAAACUUGCCAUUGUCGGGCUCCACCGAGAGCCGAACCCUGGCGUUCUCGCCCUUAUCUGCAUCGAUGACCGUCACCAUGCCAACAGGGCUGAGCGGAGGCAUGUUCUCCAAAACGGAGAAGCUGUAGCCGCUCAACAUGAACUUGGGUUCGUUGUCGUUACGGUCCAGCACCUUGACCACUACCGUGGCUGUCCCCCUCAGGCUAGGCGAGCCCUUAUCGGCCGCUGCCACGUGGAACUCGUACUGCUCUCUGUGCUCACGGUCCAGCGUAUUCCUCACGUGCACCUCUCCCGUUUUGGGGUCGAUCUCAAAGAGCCCCUUAGUGGUCGAGUCCAUGAUGAUGCUGUAGGUCAGCUCUGCGUUGGACCCACUGUCCGCGUCCGUGGCCACCACAUCCAGGACCUUAUCACCUGGCUGAUUCUCCUCUGCAAAGUCCACCUCAAACAGGGUGGGGGAGAAUACAGGGGCAUUGUCAUUCAUGUCGGUGACUUGCACCUUCAGGGAGUUUGUGCUGGACAGUGCAGGGUUACCGGAGUCCACCGCUACUAUUUCAAUCCUGUAGUCCUUGAUGCGCUCGUAGUCUAGCAGGGUCGUGGUCUGCAGGAAGUAUUUCCUCUUGCGGUCGUUGGCUGACUCGCUGGCGGGCCGCAGCUGGAAGGGGACGUCCCCGGCCACCACACAGGUGACCACAGCAUUUUCCCCUUCAUCACGAUCCGACACCUGCACCAGGGCCACAGGCGUGCCGAUGGGCAUGUCCUCUGAGAUGUUGGCCACGCCGUCGUGGUGGGUGACCAGGCCGAUGCCACGGAUCUCGAUGGCGGGUGCAUUAUCGUUCUGGUCCUUGACGUUGAUGGUCACCAGGACUUUGGAGUUCUUGGAGUUGGGGCCGCGGUCCUUGGCCACCACGAAGAACUUGAGGAAGCUCUCCUCCUCGCGGUCCACCAGCCCCUUGACGUAGAUGAUCCCUGUGGAGCGGUCAAUGCGUAGCAACCUCUGGACGGCAUCGGAGGCCUGGUGCAGGCUAUAGUCGAUCUCCCCGUUGGUACCCAUGUCAGCGUCGUUGGCUUUCACCUGGACACACGCACACACACAAACGCAUAAAAGAUUAGCCUUUAGCUUCUGCAACCUACCGUUUUCAAAACCACGAAACAAUUGUAUUCCCCAUAAUUUAUGUAAAUGCCUCUAAAUUCACUCCUAGAUUGUAUCAAAGCCUUGAUUCUCCUCAUAGCUCAAGUUCAUGCUCUGUGUCAUGCAUAAUGGACUAUCAAAACUAAGCAUGCGCAGCCCCACAUAAACAUCUAGUGAUUGUCACAUGGGUCAUUGGCAGCUAAUGGGGAAAUGACUGAGAGUGUUAAUGUUCCUCCCAUUAUCAAAAGGCCCUUGUUCCUACAGGGGCCAACAGGAGGAGAUAGAGUGACAGAGAUUGGUGGCAACGGA
This 5036-nucleotide long non-coding RNA is filed under the name Salmo salar (Atlantic salmon). Its description in RNAcentral is "lncRNA (ENSSSAG00000090602.1)". Lineage: Eukaryota; Metazoa; Chordata; Actinopteri; Salmoniformes; Salmonidae. The record is from RNAcentral.